GGACGACGUCAAGUCCUCAUGGCCCUUACGCCCAGGGCUACAAACGUGCCACAAUGGCCGGUACAGAGGGACGCGACUCCGCGAGGACAAGCAAAUCCCAAAAAGCCGGUCUCAGUUCGGAUUGAAGGCUGCAACUCGCCUUCAUGAAGCUGGAAUCGCUAGUAAUCGCGCAUCAGCAAUGGCGCGGUGAAUACGUUCCCGGACCUUGUACACACCGCCCGUCAAGCCACGAGAGCCGGGAGCGCCCGAAGCCGCUUACCCAACCCUUCAGGGAGGGACGCGUCGACGGCGAGCUCGGUGAUUGGGACUAAGUCGUAACAAGGUAGCCGUAGGAGAACCUGCGGCUGGAUCACCU
Molecule: ribosomal RNA, 355 nt
Filed under: Symbiodinium sp. clade D
Lineage: Eukaryota; Dinophyceae; Suessiales; Symbiodiniaceae
Description: partial Bacterial small subunit ribosomal RNA
Rfam family: Bacterial small subunit ribosomal RNA
Source: RNAcentral